This 201-nucleotide long non-coding RNA is filed under the name Vigna radiata. Its description in RNAcentral is "long non-coding RNA (VRAD_LNC005424)". The record is from RNAcentral. Lineage: Eukaryota; Viridiplantae; Streptophyta; Magnoliopsida; Fabales; Fabaceae.
GGGCAUUGGUGUAGUUGGGCAUGUAAGUUCAUUUUUUUCUUUGUUUUCGUGUGAAUAGAUUGAUGGAUUUGGGGAUAUAGGUUUUUGUUGAAGGGUUUUGUUUUCGAACUUGAGUUUCUUUCUUAAUCACUUUUGAAGGGAAAUGAAAGGUGAUAAAGGAGGUUGUACACCAAGGAGCAUAGGUUCUGGAAUGUCCCAAAC